Molecule: long non-coding RNA, 461 nt
Filed under: Astyanax mexicanus (Mexican tetra)
Lineage: Eukaryota; Metazoa; Chordata; Actinopteri; Characiformes; Acestrorhamphidae
Description: lncRNA (ENSAMXG00005023779.1)
Source: RNAcentral
CUUGGAUCAGAUCCAGCCCCACCCCCUGGACUUGUGGGUCUGCAGCGAGGGGUACUUGGGUUAGACAGACCUUUGGGAUGGAUAUUUUUGCUUGGACCUGGCAACCCUGCUGCGGGAAUGAGUAUGUAAUCCAGCCUCAGUAAGAGACAGAAAGAGGAGAGAAAGUGAGAGAAAUAUUAUGGACUGCAGACAGGAGUGUUUCUGUGGCUAGAUGUAAGAAAGUAAAGGUAGUUUACCCUGUUUUAUGAGCACUACAGUUCAGCAGCACCCUUUGAUGGAUGACUACUCUCAGCCAGAGCCCUGCAGCCCAGAACAGGACGCAACUGACUGCGGCACUUUCCACCACCCGCCCAGAAAUAGACUGAGAUUCAACUGUGGCCCAGAUUGAGAAGCCUUUACUCGGAGGUCGGCCAUCCCUCUUCUUGUGUACAGAUCACAGAAGGAGUGGAUCGUCUACGCAU